GUCCUCAUAGUUUAGUGGAAGAACAAUCCCCUCCUAAGGGAUAAACACAAGUUCGAUUCUUGUUGGGGAUACCA
Molecule: transfer RNA, 74 nt
Filed under: Candidatus Altimarinota bacterium
Lineage: Bacteria; Candidatus Altimarinota
Description: tRNA-Arg
Rfam family: tRNA
About the family: Transfer RNA (tRNA) molecules are approximately 80 nucleotides in length.
Source: RNAcentral